RNAcentral lists this transfer RNA (86 nucleotides) under Steccherinum ochraceum. RNAcentral describes it as "tRNA-Gly". It matches the Rfam family "tRNA". From Rfam's summary of the family: Transfer RNA (tRNA) molecules are approximately 80 nucleotides in length. Their secondary structure includes four short double-helical elements and three loops (D, anti-codon, and T loops). Lineage: Eukaryota; Fungi; Basidiomycota; Agaricomycetes; Polyporales; Steccherinaceae. The record is from RNAcentral.
GCAUUAAUGGGGUAGUGGUAACCUGGGUCGUUGCCAUGAUCGAACACUAGUUCGACCCGCCGGGGGUUCGAUUCCCCCUUAAUGCA